GCAAAGCAACUCACUUGAUCUUUGAUCAAAAUGAAUUUGAUUUGAAUCAAAGAAGGUUAAGCCCCUCAUAUGUCAAGGCUAACCACCAAUCAUUAACUCAUUGAUCAAAAAAGAAAGAAAAAAAAAGAAGGAGAAGAAGAAAUGGAAUGUACGUAAUUGAAAUUCAAAUGACAUAAGCAAAAUACAUUGACCAAAAAUGAAUGGAAUCAACAUCAAUCAAUGGUAAACAGAAG
This 233-nucleotide long non-coding RNA is filed under the name Lathyrus oleraceus (garden pea). Its description in RNAcentral is "Pisum sativum (pea) long non-coding RNA (PSAT_LNC008219)". The record is from RNAcentral. Lineage: Eukaryota; Viridiplantae; Streptophyta; Magnoliopsida; Fabales; Fabaceae.